Capsella rubella is the source of this 739-nucleotide long non-coding RNA. RefSeq lists it as uncharacterized. The transcript has 6 exons. Lineage: Eukaryota; Viridiplantae; Streptophyta; Magnoliopsida; Brassicales; Brassicaceae. The record is from RefSeq and is a predicted model, not a curated record.
AAGACGCUUUGCUUUGGUGUAUAAAUUGGAAGUUCGACCCCUUUUCAAGCAUGCAUUUUUGGUGUGUACAUGAAUGAUCUAAUCUUUAGGUAAAUGUUAGUUUCCUCUUUUCAGUAUAAUAUUGGUGUUGCUCUGUUUUGAUUGUUGUAGUAGACAGAGUCUGAUUCUGAUCCGAAUGGAAAAGUUAGCAGCUUUUGAUCAGGAACUAAGGGUUACUAUCUCCAGUCUCUGGCCAAUGUUCCCAGGUUAUAUCUCUCUAUCUCUAUAUGUUUAAAUUUUUUAAAGUAUAAUGUACAACGACACCCUUCGUUUUGACGAUAAUGCUGUGGAAACUCGCUAUAGGAAACACGUGGAUCCGCAGAGUUAUGAGAUUUGCUCUGUUCUUAUGAGUUGCGACUAGUGUACGUUACCCUCCAAUCUUUGGCUAGUGCUUUCAGGUCGAGGGGUCGUGAGCAAUUACGGCACCGGUACGAUUCCGGCUAUCUUCUCGGGUCAGGGGGUACGAUUCCGGCUAUCUUCUCGGGUCAGGGGGUACGUGGGAAUGGUCCUCUAUCUCCUUAAGUCCUUAUGAAACUACAGACACAAAAGGGUCGAGAGGUUCUUGAGCAGUAUUACAUCCUCUUUCUCCUUAUGCUAUGAUAUCACAACCUCCAGCAAGAGAAUGAAGCCUAUGACCAUCCUCAUGAAAUAGAUAGACCGUGGACUCUUCUUCCUGUUUACCUCCAUUGCUUUCUCUGUA